GUUACUAUUCAGUGUCAAUUUUUAAUUUCAUUGUUUCGUCAAUCAAUUUGAUAAUACUGAAAGUGUUUUUUUUUAUUUUACUUUGUGGAGGUGAAGGUUCAAUGAGACAUGUAAGAUAGUUUGACUGCUGAAAUAAUUGAAAGAAUGCCAAAUCAAUUAAGGUUUAGACAGUGCCUCGGUUUUUUUGUGGUCAUCCGAGUGUGGACAGUACAAGUAGACAGUACAAGUAGACAGUACAACCGAUACCAAUCAAUCGAGAACAUUAGUUCUAGUAGGCCUCACCUCUUACCUGCUACGUCGCAACCUGUGGGUAGUGGAGACCAAUAAAUAGCUCGUCGCUACGUUGUGCUAUGAGGUAACUGCGAUAUGGAGUUACGGGCUAAAGUCAUAUAAUCGUUACUUUCUCUAGAUACCUCAAGUACAUAUCACGCAGCGCUGCACAUAAAAUGAAUCCCUAUGUCAUGUAGGCAUUUCUUGUUAGCUUCAGUGAAAUUAUUAAGCAAAUAUUGUUACUUUGCAAAUUAAAAAAAAUAGCAACACACAUUUAAAAAAAUACGAGUGAAUGUGAUUAUGGGAGAAUGUGACUAUGGGAAAAUGUGACUAUGGGAGAAUGUGAC
Non-coding RNA from Biomphalaria pfeifferi, 617 nucleotides. NCBI's taxonomy places the organism in Eukaryota, Metazoa, Mollusca, Gastropoda, Planorbidae. The record is from the annotation of a GenBank genome assembly.